GAUGAACGCUAGCUACAGGCUUAACACAUGCAAGUCGAGGGGCAGCAUGUCGGUUGCUUGCAACCGACGAUGGCGACCGGCGCACGGGUGAGUAACGCGUAUCCAACCUACCCUUGUCCAUCGGAUAACCCGUCGAAAGGCGGCCUAACACGAUAUGCGGUUCUCAGCAGGCAUCUAACGAGAACGAAAUGUGAAGGAGAAGGAUGGGGAUGCGUCUGAUUAGCUUGUUGGCGGGGUAACGGCCCACCAAGGCGACGAUCAGUAGGGGUUCUGAGAGGAAGGUCCCCCACAUUGGAACUGAGACACGGUCCAAACUCCUACGGGAGGCAGCAGUGAGGAAUAUUGGUCAAUGGACGGGAGUCUGAACCAGCCAAGUAGCGUGCAGGACGACGGCCCUAUGGGUUGUAAACUGCUUUUAUGCGGGGAUAAAGUAUGGGACGUGUCCCAUUUUGCAGGUACCGCAUGAAUAAGGACCGGCUAAUUCCGUGCCAGCAGCCGCGGUAAUACGGAAGGUCCGGGCGUUAUCCGGAUUUAUUGGGUUUAAAGGGAGCGUAGGCCGUUGUUUAAGCGUGUUGUGAAAUGUCCCGGCUCAACCGUGGCACUGCAGCGCGAACUGGACGACUUGAGUGCGCGGAACGUAUGCGGAAUUUGUGGUGUAGCGGUGAAAUGCUUAGAUAUCACGAAGAACUCCGAUUGCGAAGGCAGCAUACGGCAGCGCUACUGACGCUGAAGCUCGAAAGCGCGGGUAUCGAACAGG
RNAcentral lists this ribosomal RNA (757 nucleotides) under uncultured bacterium. RNAcentral's name for it is "bacterial SSU rRNA". It matches the Rfam family "Bacterial small subunit ribosomal RNA", at positions 28 to 776 of the family's 1533-position model. The record is from RNAcentral.